RNAcentral lists this ribosomal RNA (326 nucleotides) under uncultured Bacteroidota bacterium. RNAcentral describes it as "bacterial SSU rRNA". It matches the Rfam family "Bacterial small subunit ribosomal RNA", at positions 28 to 351 of the family's 1533-position model. Lineage: Bacteria; Pseudomonadati; Bacteroidota. The record is from RNAcentral.
GAUGAACGCUAGCGGCAGGCCUAAUACAUGCAAGUCGAACGGUAAGUUGAAUAGCAAUAUUUGACCUAGAGUGACGUACGGGUGCGUAACACGUAUGCAACCUACCCUUUACAGGCGGAUAGCUCGGGGAAACUCGAAUUAACCCGUCAUGAGAUCAUAGAGUGGCAUCACAUAGUGAUUAAAUUACAAGAGGUAAAGGAUGGGCAUGCGUCUGAUUAGUUAGUUGGCGGGGUAACGGCCCACCAAGACGAUGAUCAGUAGGGGAACUGAGAGGUUGAUCCCCCACACUGGCACUGAGAUACGGGCCAGACUCCUACGGGUGGCAG